Sycon ciliatum is the source of this 810-nucleotide long non-coding RNA. RefSeq lists it as uncharacterized. NCBI's taxonomy places the organism in Eukaryota, Metazoa, Porifera, Calcarea, Leucosolenida, Sycettidae. The record is from RefSeq and is a predicted model, not a curated record. The transcript has 2 exons.
UAGAAUGCUGCUGCUGCUCAACGGAGGACAGCCGUCCUGUGUGCGCGUACAGCUUGCCAGCCUGCUGUGUGCGCGUCCAGCUUGCCAGCCUGCUGCCCCGUCUGUAGAUAUACAAAGGCAGACACACGGGUCAGCAACGGGUCUCCCAAACUACAAGUACCAUCAUCACCACCACCACCACCACCACCAUGAGUACAACGAUGGUGUGUAAGUUGAGGCCUGUAAGCUAAUAUGGAUGUUGCCGUUACUCCCUCUGUCUGUGUUCUGUGCGAACAUUAAGAGAUCGAUUCCCAGCAACUAUUUCAUACGGUUUUCCCAGCGGCUGGAGAGUGCUGUGAACUACGUCGUUAGGUUUUGACCCGCUUGCCAGGUAGCCUCAAUGAGCAGUAUUGCUGGCUAGCAUGUCGUGUUCGAGACACCUGCCAGCUGAUUGCAGAUGGAUUGGGUGUGCGCGUGUGUGUGUGCACGCGCGCGCACGCGUGUGUGUACAAUCAUGUGUAUGUGCGUGUCUUAUGGUUGUGUGUCAGUUUGUGAACGUGUAAGUGCUUUGCGGCACGCGCGCACACACAUUCAUGUUGGCUGUUGACAUCUUGUCUACGAGCUACUAUCCGUGGUCGCUUGCACGUGCCAGUCCAAUGUGCAUGCAGUCUUUCAUGGAUUCCACUGUUUACCCACCGUGCCAGAUGCUUGUGUGUGUGUGUGUGUGUGUGUGUGUGUGUGUGUGUGUGUGUGUGUGGUGUGUGCCUUGCACACCUUGGCAGCCAACGCCUUGCUUUUCUCUAACCCCGUACUGGCUACAUUUCUCGUGUA